Molecule: ribosomal RNA, 484 nt
Filed under: uncultured bacterium
Lineage: Bacteria
Description: partial 16S ribosomal RNA
Rfam family: Bacterial small subunit ribosomal RNA
Source: RNAcentral
AUUGAACGCUGGCGGCAUGCUUUACACAUGCAAGUCGAACGGCAGCGCGGGCUUCGGCCUGGCGGCGAGUGGCGAACGGGUGAGUAAUACAUCGGAACGUGCCCAGUAGUGGGGGAUAGCUCGGCGAAAGCCGGAUUAAUACCGCAUACGACCUGAGGGUGAAAGCGGGGGAUCUUCGGACCUCGCGCUAUUGGAGCGGCCGAUGGCAGAUUAGCUAGUUGGUGGGGUAAAGGCCUACCAAGGCGACGAUCUGUAGCUGGUCUGAGAGGACGACCAGCCAACGUGGGAAUGAGACACGCCCAGGCCUCCUCCGGGAGCCGCAGGGGGGGAUUUUUGACUAAGGGGCGAAGCCUUUAUCCACCACUGCGGGGUUGUGAAGAAUGCCCUUGUGUUUCCAAGCUAUUUUUGGGGGAAACGAAAAGUCUGUCCCCAACACCCCGUUUCGAUGACGCUCCCCUCAAAAUAACCCCCGCCUACCCCCUCC